UCCUACGGGAGGCAGCAGUGGGGAAUCUUGCGCAAUGGGCGAAAGCCUGACGCAGCAACGCCGCGUGGGGGAUGAAGGCCUUCGGGUUGUAAACCUCUUUCACCAUCGACGAAGCCCUUCGGGGUGACGGUAGGUGGGGAAGAAGCACCGGCUAACUCCGUGCCAGCAGCCGCGGUAAU
This 179-nucleotide ribosomal RNA is filed under the name uncultured bacterium. Its description in RNAcentral is "partial 16S ribosomal RNA". It matches the Rfam family "Bacterial small subunit ribosomal RNA", at positions 337 to 524 of the family's 1533-position model. The record is from RNAcentral.